RNAcentral lists this long non-coding RNA (1245 nucleotides) under Monodon monoceros (narwhal). RNAcentral's name for it is "lncRNA (ENSMMNG00015019742.1)". Lineage: Eukaryota; Metazoa; Chordata; Mammalia; Artiodactyla; Monodontidae. The record is from RNAcentral.
AUGGGGUGGUUGGUGACGGUGAUGCCUGCGGCACAGGGAGGGCAGCCUCAGGGGCCUGCUCUGCGCCCGGCCUGGCCCACCCCCCGCCCCAGCUCACCCACCAUAGGCCGCAGGGCUGCCCUUGCUCUUGGGCAAGUUGGCACGCAGGAUGGCAUUGUUGAGGCUGUUGAGGUAGGUGGGCAUGCUGUGGUAGCCCUUGUUGUUGUAGAAAACCUGCGGGGAGUACACAGAGACCCCGAGAGCCACGUUGGUCCCUGCAGACCUCGGGCGAGGGCCGGAAGGGCCGGGGCCCGGGGCCGAGCGGCGCUCACCUGGGCUGCCCGCCGCACCGCGAUCCUCCGCACCAUGGCGGGGGCCCGGGCGCCAAACGAGGCUGGGAUGGACUUCUGGACGUUGCCGAAGGUGAUGGCCCCGUACCUGGGCAGCAAGCCGAGGACCGGUGAGCCAGGUGGGAGACGGGUGUCUGCUCCUCGCCCACGGCCAGCGCGCCCCUCCCGCCGGGCUCACCGGUGCAGCCGGAAGCGGUCGGAGGUAAAGAGCAGGUACUCAGAGACAUUGUGGCCGGUGAUGUCGGUCAGGAUGUCUCCCGUGACCACCCGCAUCUGGGGCGGGUGCCCGCCCACACUGCCGGGACAGGAGAAGCCGGUGCCCUGCCCAGAGCAGGUGCAGCGGACGGGCUCCCGCACCAGGCGUGGCAGGGAGGGUGCCGACGUCCAGUUCUCUGUGGGCACAGCGGGCAGAGUCAGCCCAGCCCGUGCUGCCCCGAGCCCCAGGCAUCCCCACCAGCCGGUACCUGGCGAGGAGGUGGGCGGCAGGGAGGUGUUCCAGGCCUGUGGCGGGUCCUCGUCCAGGGACACGGGGGAGUCAGACGGGGCAGGCGAGGGUGGGGGCGGCACGAAGUUGGACAGCGGCAGCCCCUGCGUGAAGGACUCGAGGCACAUGCUGUCGAAGAACCGCGUGGCCAGCAGGCGCGACUCACCACUGCUCAGGUUCAGCGUGGGCCCCAGCGAGCCGUUAGCUGGAGACUUGAGCACACACGUGGCGCCCACGCCUGACGGCAGCCGGAAAGUGCUCACCAGCUGCUGGGGUCCGGCGUCGGGGGACAGCUGCAAUCUGGGAGAGCACAGAGCCAGUCUGGUUUCGGGGACGGGACCCCCCCCCCCCAGCUCUCGCACCGGCCCCCACCCCGCAGGGCGGCCUGUCCCACGGCCUCACCGGUACUCCCGGCGCUCCUCGUUGGCAUAG